GGACGAACGCUGGCGGCGUGCCUAACACAUGCAAGUCGAGCGGGGACAUGCGACGGAAGUGAAGUUUCGGAUGGAGCGGAAGAUGCAUGUCUAGCGGCGGACGGGUGAGUAACGCGUGAGCAACCUGUCCCUUACAGGGGAUAACACAGCGAAAGUUGUACUAAUACCGCAUAAGACCACGGUAGGACAUCCUACAGGGGUCAAAGGAGUAAUCCGGUAAGGGGUGGGCUCGCGUCCGAUUGGAUAGUUGGUGAGGUAACGGCCCACCAAGUCGACGAUCGGUAGCCGACCUGAGAGGGUGAUCGGCCACAUUGGGACUGAGACACGGCCCAAACUCCUACGGGAGGCAGCAGUGGGGAAUAUUGGGCAAUGGGGGAACCCUGACCCAGCAACGCCGCGUGAGGGAAGAAGGUUUUCGGAUCGUAAACCUCUGUCCUUGGUGAAGAGAGAGAGACGGUAGCCAAGGAGGAAGCCCCGGCUAACUACGUGCCAGCCGCUGC
RNAcentral lists this ribosomal RNA (500 nucleotides) under uncultured bacterium. RNAcentral's name for it is "bacterial SSU rRNA". It matches the Rfam family "Bacterial small subunit ribosomal RNA", at positions 27 to 518 of the family's 1533-position model. The record is from RNAcentral.